UACGUAGGGUGCGAGCUUUAAUCGGAAUUAUUGGGCGUAAAGCGCGCGCAGGCGGUCUUUUAAGUCUGAUGUGAAAGCCCACGGCUCAACCGUGGAGGGUCAUUGGAAACUGGGAGACUUGAGUGCAGAAGAGAAGAGUGGAAUUCCACGUGUAGCGGUGAAAUGCGUAGAGAUGUGGAGGAACACCAGUGGCGAAGGCGACUCUUUGGUCUGUAACUGACGCUGAGGCGCUAAAGCGUGGGGAGCAAACAGG
This 253-nucleotide ribosomal RNA is filed under the name uncultured bacterium. RNAcentral's name for it is "partial 16S ribosomal RNA". It matches the Rfam family "Bacterial small subunit ribosomal RNA", at positions 524 to 776 of the family's 1533-position model. The record is from RNAcentral.